This 465-nucleotide ribosomal RNA is filed under the name uncultured bacterium. RNAcentral describes it as "partial 16S ribosomal RNA". It matches the Rfam family "Bacterial small subunit ribosomal RNA", at positions 339 to 795 of the family's 1533-position model. The record is from RNAcentral.
CUACGGGUUGCUGCAGUGGGGAAUAUUGCACAAUGGGCGCAAGCCUGAUGCAGCCAUGCCGCGUGUAUGAAGAAGGCCUUCGGGUUGUAAAGUACUUUCAGCGGGGAGGAAGGGAGUAAAGUUAAUACCUUUGCUCAUUGACGUUACCCGCAGAAGAAGCACCGGCUAACUCCGUGCCAGGCAGCCGCGGUAAUACGGGGGGUGCAAGCGUUAAUCGGAAUUACUGGGCGUAAAGCGCACGCAGGCGGUUUGUUAAGUCAGAUGUGAAAUCCCCGGGCUCAACCUGGGAACUGCAUCUGAUACUGGCAAGCUUGAGUCUCGUAGAGGGGGGUAGAAUUCCAGGUGUAGCGGUGAAAUGCGUAGAGAUCUGGAGGAAUACCGGUGGCGAAGGCGGCCCCCUGGACGAAGACUGACGCUCAGGUGCGAAAGCGUGGGGAGCAAACAGGAUUAGAUACCCGGGUAGUC